UCAGACAAGGAAGAGUUGGUGGGGUUCAAAGGCCCAGAUAAGGUUGUCUUGUAAGCAGUCACAGCAAAGAGGAAGCUCUGUCAGAAACAAAGAAUGCUUCCAAGGGCAGAUUGCAGGCAAGAGGGGGCCAGAGCUGGCAGCUAACUCACUUCCUCCAGGAGGCCCGGCAAGAGUGAGCUGCACAGAUGAAGUUCUUUCUUCUCGGAACAUGAAACACAGCAGGGCAAGCCAGGCAUGUUAGGAGUCAUGUGGAGGUCUCAGGGCCAUUCAAACUUACUGGAGCAAACAGCUCUACACAGAGUAGAUUGGAUUGUCAGAAAUGAGCCGCCCACCCUUGAAAAGCACACUGGGGAAAAGGCUGCCCAAACGCAGUAGGUGCACCCUGCCUGAAGUCUAGGUGAAAGUCUCCCAGGGCAAGGGGAAGCUCACACAGUCCCUGUCAAGACAUCAAUGACGUUUUGCCAGGACAGAUCCAGACUGGUUCUGAAAGCCCAGCUGUUGUCCUGCUCCUGCCUACAAGGGGAGACACAGACACCUCCCUCCCCAGACUGGCACCAUUAAUUAAGUGGUGGCUCUGAGAAAAACAGCAAGUGAAAUCCAGGAAAGCGGCUCAGCAUGAACUCCCGCUGGGGCCCACAGUCUUACUCAUCCCGGUCCCAGAUGGAUCUUAGAGGCGCGGGUCUAGGGGAGAAAACCAAGCGCCUGUAGACAUUUGCUGUCCUCCGUGUCCUGGCUCCUCCUCACCCUGCCUUCCUGUUUGCCCUGGUAAGGGAAAACUGCUGGAGUUAGAGAAGCUUCCAGAAGGUGCAUGUUUCUUAUGGUUUUUCCUUGACUGUUCCAUUUCUGGCUGGAGAAGAGUUAGGCCUUGUGCCUUCUGGGUAAGUAUUCUACCACGAAGCAUCAUCUUCUGUCCCCAGAGCUCAUGUUUUGCUUUCCUUGUGCCUCCCAGACACAGAGCCGCCUCUCUGAUUGGCUACUGGGCAGACGCGGAGGCAGCUCAAAGCACCCAGACAUGCCUAGCCUUGCUACCCAUUGGAAGGCCAGAUUAUUCUACAAAUGUAGGGCUUCAGUGGAAAGUUUAAUCCAUCCCCCCACUCCCCACACACACACACACACACACACACACACACACACACACACACACACUCCUAAGAACUAGACCUGCAGUAGGCAAACACUCUACCACCAAGCCACAUCCUCAGCUUUUGGAAACUUGCUUUGGGAUGAAGAAUUAAGUCCUCCAGUGAUUUUUUUUUUUUUUUUUACAUAUUCCCAUAAUUCUUCUCUUCUUUUUCGUGCCUUUCAAUCAUAGCAUUACUGCCCCGAUUAACAGGAAAGCCACCUGCCAGCUAAUACCAGGGCCUGGAAACGAUUUAUCUUUGUACAUUCAUCUCCUUUAGCUGAGGAAGGGUGCCUCCCUACCUCCCCAGUUGACUACAGGGUCUGCAACCCACGGAGAGUAAGGUGAGUGAGGCCCCAGCCCUUCUGGUAUGAUCCUAAACAAGCAAGGCCAGGCCCCCAGCAGUAGGCCUUAUUCAAAGCUGACCCCAGCAAAGGGCUGGAGGCCAAGUCUCAGCCUUAGUGGUCCCCUGGCACCCAAGGGCUGAGAGAGGUCUCCCAGGGCAGUCCAUUUCCUGCUUCUAGAAACUUGGCCUGGGGCCUUUCCCAGCAAGGACCCGCCUUUCCUCUCCUCCCGCCCUCGGGGCGGAUCUAGCCUCGCCACCCAGGGCGGGCUGCAGCUUGUGGCCCGGGGCAGCGGGCUUCCAAGGCGCCCAGCUACCCCGCGGGGUGACAUUGGCCCUCCCUUCUCCCUCGGCCUCAUGACUUCUGGUAAAGGCCCCGUUAGUCCCCACCCACCUCCCACCUCCGCCCUCCGCCGCAGCCGGACUGGUGAGGACCGCGCCUCCCCGGGAGGCUGUGCUCUCCCCCGCCCCUGGCAGCAAGCUGCGCUUCGGAAACUGUUGACUCAGAGGGUGGCCUGGCGGCCAGCGUCUGAUGUCAGCCUGGAGCCCGGCCGCGCCGGGGAAGCCAAGGAGAUGCACGGUGCGGGUGCGGGCGCCCGGCCCGGUGGGCGCCGUAGGGACGGCGCUGCAGCGAAGCUGGCGGGCUGCGGCUGCCGGGGCGCCCGUGACUCACGAUGCGUCACGGAGCAGAUGCCCGCAGCGGCUCGAGGCUCCCGGCUGCUGCUGACUCAUCAGAAAGCUGUGCGCGGCCCGGGUGGCUUUGGGGCGCCCGGAGCCGGAAAACCCCCAUGAAAAGGCUGGGGCGCGGGCGGGCACUGCAGCGGGGAGCCGCAUGGCUGGCAGCUGCUCGAGCCACCUGCAGCGCAGCCUUCUGCGAGCGACCAAGACACACACAGAGACAGAUGGACAAAACUGUUCCUAGGUGUCCACUGGCUGGGGUGUUACCCAAGGUCGCUGGUGUUUGGUCCCGUCUUUAGACUUGAAGGUCUGUUUGGGAAGAGCAGAGCAGCAGCACACCGGGGACUGGAUCCGUGCCUUCCUGGCCUCACUCUUACCCUAGCCCUCUCUAGGGAAGCCACACUGCGGCUGUGGACACCACUUGCUGGCUCAGAGCCUGGCUCCAGAUCUUUCCUGUCAAUGAUGGCUGGCCACAAGGCCCUGUGGCACUCAGGAAAUGCAGCCAGGGGUCAGAGAAUUCUCAGAAAAGGGUGUGGAUCUGGAGGGAUUGUCUGUGUGGUGUCCACCCUGUCCUAAACUGGGACAAAUGCUCUAAAGAUACUUGAGGAGCCUCAAUGCAAGGCUUUCCACCCCAGAUAGGGCAAUACUGCAAGAUGAAAUAGGAUUUCAUAGGCAUGCACAUACAGGAUAACCUGCACCCGAAGUAGUCAUGGGAAGGGGCGGAGGUCUGUGUGGAACACAGCCGCAGAAACCCUGGUGGGCUGGCGUUAAGGUGGGGGCUUUGGUAGAAAUGUGGACAGGUGGAGGAAAGGCAUUCCAAACACCUAAACGCCCUAGGAAACGGGAGGGUAAAUUUUAGAAUCAGCAAGCAGUCCCUUUUGCUCGGAACCCCAGAGCAUUAGCUGCUCCAGCCUAGCAGCAUAGAUGUGGCACUUAGAAUCACCACGGUGCCCCAGAAGGACCUGGAGCAAACUCCAGUCUGCCCACUGCCCCUGGCAGGUAGUCACGUGCAUUCCCAGAUGGGUCCCUUCCAAGAACCCCACGUCCUGCUCAGCCACGGCUGCAGGAACCUCAGCUUUGGAUGUCUUUUUAUGACUUGGCGCCGAGUGCAGAUCGCAGAUCGAUCCUUUUUAGUCCAUACUUCACACUUUUCCUGUUCUGUCCUUCAGUCACUGUACUGACCUACACCAUCAGGUCUCAACUGACAGCACUUUGGAAUUAUUUAGAGGUGCUUUGGAAACUGUACAGGUGUGGCAUGAGACUUCCCUCCUGAAAAUAUGGUCUCACGGACCCACUGAUUGAGGUGAGUCACCACCAAGUCGGUGUCAGCCGGGAACUUAGAGCUGGAUCUCCUGGCCUUCGGAGUCCUCAUCUCUGGUAAGACGGUAUGGGAGCUAGGAGGCCGACAGGAACAUUUGGACUCCCCGUGACUUAUGUUUUUGCCAGGCAUGCGCCCUGCUGCUGAAGCCAAAGGUUCUAACAGGAAGGCACCUAAGAUAGCCUUCUGGCGGUGAUAAACUGUGAACCUCCCUGGGGGGUUAACCCCCUAUGACAAUGGCAGUCAAGUCACACCCCCAUGCAUUCUUAGGCACCAGGUACAGAGGGUGGGAGCUGGGAAUCUUGCGGUAAAUUCUCCAUCAGUGUUCAGCACAGGGUUGGACAAUUUUCCCUUGAUCCUGAUUUACUAGUAACUUUGAAAUUUUAGAGGCUUCCCCGAGUUUACCCCACUUCCUGUCCACUGGGCUAAAGAUAUCACCGUAUUUAAAUGUGGCUUAAUUAGGCUGCUCUGCUGCAAGGCAGAGGACACUGGUUACUAAGUGUGAAGGCUCAAGCACUACAGGAAGAACUGCUUGACAUAUUGAAAGGACUCAUGGUCUGCAAACGGAGAAAGUUCCUCAUGUGCCCCAGAUCUGGUCACAACCAAGCAGUGUGGUUUCCGUUUGUCAGCUUAAGAAACAGGCCCUAGGAGGGCACUAACCCUAGGAGGGCAGCAAAUGGCCAAGCUGGAACUGGGACCAGCCAGUAUUAAAACAAACAGGACAACUCAGUGACCUUUGGCUCUAAGGUCUUGGGACUUUUUGCUUUGCUGGUAUAGGUCCCUAAUCCCAAGGAGUUUGGUGUUGAACUCAAGAAAGCCUGUGAUUGAAAAGCAGCUAGCACACAGUAGUUUUUUUUUCCCCUGAGGGAUGAGAGAGGCAGGGAGGGUAGAGGGCAAGCGAACUGUCAAGGUCCUUGGGAAAUGCCUUGUUAUAGCUAGACUUCCUUGGAAGCUGAUGGUAGGCAUUCUGGCAAUUGCACCCCCCCCCCCCCCCCCCGCCUCGCCCCGGGUCCGAAAACCUCUCGGUGUUUGGAUUUGCAGGUCGGGGUAGAUGGAUGGGCGGGACAGUUCAGGUUCUCAAAUUGUAGAUUAGGAAAUUGAGGGACUCAGCCCCCACCGUCAGAUUUACUGCAAUGCAUGAAGUCCAUCUAGUCCAGUGCAAUAAUUCUUACUCGUCUAGUGACUGUGGGCAGGACCUGUGGCCUGGCCCCCAUCCCAGGCAAGGCUCUGAAGCGGGAAGAGGAACCAAAAGCUAAGCUCGUUCUUGGAGAAUGCACGCGGGGACGCAGAGCUGGGAGCUGGGGCGCCCGUUUCCCCUCCCCGAGGAACGCGAACUGCCCCAGGUGCCCCAAAGCUCAACCUCCCCCACCCGUCCCUGGCGCGCCCUGAGUCUCGGCGGUCACGUCUCCCCAUCCGGCUCCAAAGUGCGAGCCAGAUGCAGCCCGGCCAGCGGGUGGGAAGGCUGCGCCAGGGGCAGGCACGGGAGUGGUCCCCAGCCCUGCCGUGCCCCAGUCGGCAGGGGCGAGGUCGCCGCGAGGCAGGCAACGCCCCAGCAGGGCGCUCCUGGGGCACCAGGGCGGGGAGGGGCGGGGCUGGGGAAGCCUCCAGGCCGCGCCCCCGAGCGCCGCGGGGCCCCUGUUGCUGGGGAGAAAAGCGCGCCCGGCCCCGCCCCGAGCCCGCGGGCGCAGCGCCCUCUGCUGGUAAGGCCUCAGAACUACGCAGAUACCCUGUCGACCUAAACUGGGGAGAAGGGUCACCAUCAUCUUAGGGAAAAAGGAAGAAAAUAACUAGAUUAAAAAAUGAGCCGUGCGCGUUACAGGACAUUUUGAAAGGUGACGAAGUUAUGCCUAUUUUUUUCUAGAAAAAGCUCUCUGCAAAUUUAUAUGUAUGUUUUUGUUUUUAUACAGGGUCUUAUAUAGCCCAGGCUGGCCUUGAACUCUGGAUCCUCCUUGCCUGAGCAUCUGAGCUCUGUGAUUACAGGUAUUUGCCAUCGGACACUCCUAGAUGAUUGGUUUAGGAAAAAUCCAGAGACGUUUUUAGUCAUGUGGAUGCUCAAAAAACAUUUGUUUCUAUAGAAAUAGGAUCAAGACUUACCCAGCUAGAAUCACCAUUUUUAAAAUUGUAUUAUUUAUUUAUUUAUUUAUUUAUUUUUACCAUGCUAAUGUUUCUAUGUGGUUCCCUGGUUGUGAGCACCUACAAAGCUGACAGUAAAAUGGCCCACUGACCAGCCAGGUUAACUAGAAUCUGAGGUGGAUGAGGAUGGAGUACUGUUCAUAGUGACCUACAGAUGUCCUUCUCACAGCACUGUCUGGGACAAUACCCAGAAAUCAAACACGCCCCAUUUCUACAGUAGAAUGUAUGACUGUUCACACUGAGUAGGACAAAUACGUGCCAGCAACCAGCUGCAUGUCAGUUCAGGGCAGAUGGGUUUUUAUAAUAAAGAAGUCUUUUUUGUUUUCCAGAGUGUUUUUGUGGUUUGGACCUGCACUAACUUCCAUGCUAACGGAGAGGCAGAUGGAGUGAACAAGGCUUCCCCCAGCUGUUCAGCUUGCCUCUCGUGGUCUAGUGCUGGGCAGUUUGGUUGGAGUUUGGGAAUGUGGACAGACUGCCUUCUCCACUCCCAGUUUGCCACUUUAAGGCCAGUAGACCAACCCAGGUUUCCUGGCCACCUGGAUUCCCUUCAGGACUAACCUUAGCACUGGAACGUUUGCAUGGACUUUUGAAGGAAAGCAGUGGCGUGACUUACUGACUGCUGGCUUGGGCAGAGCCUUCCAGCCCAGUCCCAGCUUGGCUUUGCCACAUGCAGCUAAAACAUCCCACAUCUCCUGUAAUGGGUUUUACCACCUUGUUCUCAUAUGCAGCCAGCAAGAAUGGCGAUAUCUCAAAUUGUUUAGGAGCCUCUGGGGCUUACCCAGCUCCCCCCACCCCCAUCCCUGGCUCUGGGAUUUUCAUUCAGUUAAUCUUAUGACUAUUCUGUGUGCCUUUCCUAUCCACUCAAGGCGCCCUCUGCAUUUAAACACCGUACAUUAAUCAACAUAUGGUUUUUCUUCUCAGUUCCCUUGUUAGGUAUCAUCUAUACCUUACCCAUCCUUAAAAUUUGCUAGAGUUUGACAGGUAUGUCUGAUUCUUGUGUGCUAAGCCAAAUGAUUUCCCAACUUACCUCUUUAGAUGCCUGCACAUCUUCAGUGCUUCCUCAGCACACUCAAAGGUUGGAAUUAUAGCAUCUCCGCAAUGAAAUCUCUGUAUAAAGGUAAGUAGGAUGUCUGAAAGCUCCUGUCAUUCCAAACAAGUGCCAUUCUGUCUGGGAAUCCUGCAGUUAAGGAGAUGCCGUGCAGGGAGGAGGGGUGUACCAAAGAGCCCACCACUCCCAUCAACAUGCCUCAAUUGUCUCCUCAAAAGGGUGUGACUGGAGGUUAGGUGGCUCAGUAGUUAAGCACACACCGCUCUGGCAGGGGAAUCCCAGCGCAGCCCCAUCACUGAGACCAGGUGGCUCAGAACUACUUGCAACCACAGUGCUAGGGAAUCCAACUUAAGCCCUCACAGGUACCACAUGCACCAGGCCAUGCCCAGAUGCACAUAAAUUCACACAAUUAAAAAUAAGGGGUGUUGGUGGUGGAGGGGGUGAGAGGUGAUGGGGUGAAGAACUCUGGGAGGUGGGGGAUUGGGAAAGGGAUCAAUGUAAAUAAAUAAGAUUUAAUAACAAAAAUUGAAAAUAAUUAAAACACAAAUAAAAAUCAAUCUUUAUAAAGAGUAACACUGGGUAUGGCAGCAUGGUAGAACGCAUUACUUUAUUCAACUCUGUGAGAUGCAAUUGUUCCCCACCAGCCACUCUACCUUCAUGUCCUAAGGCCCUGCCUCCCCAAGUCUGAGGAGCUCCAGGCAGGAAGCUGGCUCUAUACAUCCUGCCAGUGUGAAGGAAGAGCAGAGCUAGGCUUCAGGUUCCCAGCAUCUGACAGACUCUGCACCAACAUAAGCCAGCGGCUGCCUCUCCAUGAGCCACAUUGGCUGCUGGGAAGGCCCUGGGCUUGGGUGAACAAUCUCUACCCCAGGACAUUUUCUAGUAGGGGAGAAAUGUCCAUAGCCUACUAUUGGAGGACAGUUGCCUUUCCCUAACACAGCAUACACAGAGAUUUAAUCUUCAUUACGUGCUCUGCUCUAUCGUUGAUAACCCUGUCAAACACUUGCUCAGGUUGGAAAAGAGGCUCACAAGUGUCCGGUCUGGCUUCCUGUCAACAGUUUUCUUUAGGAAUUCUGACUCAACACAAAUCUUGCCAUAUUUGCUUUCGCGUGACCCACUCUGCCUGCCUUUCUAUUAUUCUAGCUCUGUAUAAACCCAGCUUGCAUGCCAGUCUAAGUCAUUCGCAUCUGCCAGAGCCUUUUCUACUUUGUAAAGCACGUGACCUACCUUUGGACUCAACAAAGCCACUAACGGCUCCACACAGUCCCCAAGGUCCCUGCUGAAUUAAAUUGCUUUUAAAGACUACAUUCCUUUAUGCCCCAGUGCAUGUGAGGGGUCAGAGGAUGCUCUGCUGGGGUUGGUUUUCUCCCUACCAUGUGAGUCAAGGAGAUCAAGUUCAGGUCAAGAUUGGUGGCUAGUGCCUUCACCUGCCGAGCCAUCCACCGCACCAGCUUGUACAUACUUUAAUUCUCUUAUGAAAACAGUCCUACCAGGACCAGUGACUGGCCAAAUACCAGUCACUACUUGAUGAGGAUGUAGUCCCCACAGGAAACCUUCCUCUGGUGUGUCCAGUCCCUGAUAUUCAUGGGGACUUCAGUUUGUGACAACCAAGUGUCUGUAUGUUUGUGUUGGUUACUUUCUGUUGUUGUGACAACGCACUAUGACCAGGACAGCUUGAAGAAGAAGAAGAAGAAGUGUGCAUUGGGACAGACUUUUCCAGAGACAAACAUGGUGGCUGGAGCGGGAAACCUAAGAGAGGUCACAAUGUCAACUAUAAGCACAAAGCAGGAAGUGUAAACUGGAAGUAGGGUGAGGCUAUGUCCUCUCAAAACCCAACCCCAGUGACACACUUCUGCCAGCAAGGACACACCUUCUAAACCUCCCCUAACAGCACCAGUAACUGGCGCCAGGUGUUCAAAUGCCUCAGCCUAUGGGAGCCAGUUUUCAUUCAAACCACAAGAGCUCACGUGACCCAGCCCAUCAAAGACAAGUUAAUUCCCCCUCAGCUUGACUUGAAUAAUUUUUUUUACAUAGGUUCUUCAUCAGCUCCAUGCUCAGACUGAUGCCAUCCACUGCCAGGUCCUACAGCCCUACUAACUAGGCUACGAGAGGGUCUUUCACAUUUGCUCAAACUCCUUCCUGCUGGGCAGCACAAGUCUUUAACCUCAGUACUAUCUACUGGGGGAAGCAGAGAUAGGUGGAGGCCAGCAUUGUCUGUCUGCAGAGUUACAAAAUACCCAGUCUCAAUAAAAUAAAAUAAAAUAAAAUAAAAUAAAAUAAAAUAAAGAGGCUUUCCUAAAGUGUCACCCCUGGUUGUCAUAGAUUCCUGUACUGGUCUGCUAUGCAAGUCCCGUCUGCACACCAAGAGCUUGGCCUGAGUGAGGGCCUACCUUUUCUUCUCCCUGUCCAGUUCUUCCCAUAGGUUAAGAUUUUGGAUACCAAGGAGGACUGCUUAGCACAGCCACAGCAAAGGCCCCAACACAGAUGCCACACCUGCUUAUAAUCUGCUCCCAUACAUACGAGUUACAGAUGCUGCAAAAUGAUCUCUAGCACGUCAGCCACUUGGGGGCACCCCGUGCUCAUGUGGCAGAUCUCCAUUUAUCAAGGUGGUGUCACUCUGUACCACAUAGAAGAUGGUCACCAUGCCUCCCCCCACCCCCAGCGUGCACAGCUCCAUCCUUGGACUGCUAUGCUUCCCUUGCAUGUCUUAAGGUUGCCCAAAGCAUCUUUCCCUCUGUUAUGUCCUUGUUUAGGUGCCCUGUUUGGGUUCUAGGGACACAUCAACAGUUGUCUAUUCACCCUGGGUGCAGCACUAACCGAGCAAAUAAACCUAUCCAUGUCUGGCAUGGUGA
Long non-coding RNA from Mus musculus (house mouse), 9489 nucleotides. RefSeq annotates it as predicted gene, 41308. The transcript is spliced from 2 exons. The record is from RefSeq and is a predicted model, not a curated record. Lineage: Eukaryota; Metazoa; Chordata; Mammalia; Rodentia; Muridae.